This 492-nucleotide ribosomal RNA is filed under the name uncultured bacterium. RNAcentral's name for it is "partial 16S ribosomal RNA". It matches the Rfam family "Bacterial small subunit ribosomal RNA", at positions 29 to 507 of the family's 1533-position model. The record is from RNAcentral.
AGUGAACGCUGGCGGUAGGCCUAACACAUGCAAGUCGAACGGCAGCACAGUAAGAGCUUGCUCUUACGGGUGGCGAGUGGCGGACGGGUGAGGAAUACAUCGGAAUCUACUUUUUCGUGGGGGAUAACGUAGGGAAACUUACGCUAAUACCGCAUACGACCUACGGGUGAAAGCAGGGGAUCUUCGGACCUUGCGCGAUUGGAUGAGCCGAUGUCGGAUUAGCUAGUUGGCGGGGUAAAGGCCCACCAAGGCGACGAUCCGUAGCUGGUCUGAGAGGAUGAUCAGCCACACUGGAACUGAGACACGGUCCAGACUCCUACGGGAGGCAGCAGUGGGGAAUAUUGGACAAAGGGCGCAAGCCUGAUCCAGCCAUACCGCGUGGGUGAAGAAGGCCUUCGGGUUGUAAAGCCCUUUUGUUGGGAAAGAAGAGCAGCAGGUUAAUACCCCGCUGUUCUGACGGUACCCAAAGAAUAAGCACCGGCUAACUUCGUG